RNAcentral lists this ribosomal RNA (301 nucleotides) under uncultured bacterium. Its description in RNAcentral is "partial 16S ribosomal RNA". It matches the Rfam family "Bacterial small subunit ribosomal RNA", at positions 509 to 807 of the family's 1533-position model. The record is from RNAcentral.
CAGCCGCCGCGGUAAUACGGAGGGUGCAAGCGUUAAUCGGAAUUACUGGGCGUAAAGCGUGCGUAGGCGGUUCGUUAAGUCUGUUGUGAAAGCCCCGGGCUCAACCUGGGAAUGGCAAUGGAUACUGGCGAGCUAGAGUGUGUCAGAGGAUGGUGGAAUUCCCGGUGUAGCGGUGAAAUGCGUAGAGAUCGGGAGGAACAUCAGUGGCGAAGGCGGCCAUCUGGGACAACACUGACGCUGAGGCACGAAAGCGUGGGGAGCAAACAGGAUUAGAUACCCGUGUAGUCCCUGUCUCUUAUAC